AAAUCCCAUACCCCAUAUCCAAUAUCCCAUACCCCAUAUCCCAAAUCCCAAUCCCAUAUCCUUACCCCAACCCCAAUUCCCACAUCCCAUCCCAUAACCCCAUAACCCCAUAACCCCGUACCCCAAUCCCAAAUCCCAUAUCCCAUAUCCAAUCCCAUACCCCAUAUCCCAAUCCCAAAUCCCAAAUCCCAAUCCCAUAUCCCAUACCCCAAAUCCCAUACCCCAAAUCCCAAUCCCAAAUCCCAUAUCCCAUCCCAUACCCCAAAUCCCAUACCCCAAUCCUAAAUCCCAAUCCCAUACCCCAUGCCCCAAAUCCCAUACCCCAAAUCCCAUACCCCAUCCCAUACCCCAUAUCCCAUCCCAAAUCCCAUACCCCAAUCCCAAAUCCCAUAUCCCAUCCCAUACCCCAAAUCCCAUACCCCAAAUCCCAUAUCCCACCCCAUACCCCAUAUCCCAUCCCAUAUCCCAUACCCAUAGCCCACCCCAUAACAAACCCUAUAGCCCGAUCCCAUAUCCCAUAUCCUAUAUCCCAACCCCAUCCCAUAUCCCCAUCCCAUAGCUCACC
This 565-nucleotide long non-coding RNA is filed under the name Phasianus colchicus (ring-necked pheasant). Its description in RNAcentral is "lncRNA (ENSPCLG00000019096.1)". Lineage: Eukaryota; Metazoa; Chordata; Aves; Galliformes; Phasianidae. The record is from RNAcentral.